This 3796-nucleotide long non-coding RNA is filed under the name Sus scrofa (pig). RNAcentral describes it as "lncRNA (ENSSSCG00030039714.1, ENSSSCG00085033937.1, ENSSSCG00105036621.1)". Lineage: Eukaryota; Metazoa; Chordata; Mammalia; Artiodactyla; Suidae. RNAcentral also lists the same sequence under 1 other name. The record is from RNAcentral.
AUCAGAGACAGGACACAGCCGCCAGGCUGAGCCCACAGGGCGCUCUCCCCUGCAUCUUCUGCCCGCUGGGCCAAAGCUUUGGGAUCCUUGGGGAAAGGGAAGUCAGUGCCACAGCCAGCCGCAGGACCUCUGAGAGUCCCCUCUCCUCUGGCUCUGCCCUCAGAGGUUAAGGAGGUGGGAGGCCCGUCCACCUUCAAGUGCUGAUUGUCCAAGCCCCGUGCUGACCCCCAGCAGACCCUCCUCCAGGGCCUGACGCCCACUCCCCACCUGGGCUGCCCGGAGCUGAGUAGCAGGACUCCCACCCAAGACGGUCUGGGAUUUGAGAACGAAGCUGAGGUGGUCGUGGAGCCCUGGCAGUGGUGGCCCAAGAUGCCUCUCUCCCAGGGCUCGGGGGCAGCGGGUGCACACAAAGGGCAGCGCCCCGCUCUGUACUCCUCUGUCCUGAGAUGUUCCACCUGUCAUCAGGACCCUGGGCCUUCAGAGACUUGAGCCCUCGCAGCUGGUCAGAGCUCAAGCAAUUAGAACAGGAAGAAGCUGCAUCUCAAGCUCCGAGGUCUGGAGAAGCACAGAUGCAAGGACAUUGCCGAGCAAAGCAUUUCCUUGAGAGGGCCUGGCAGGGCCCUGCCCAGGAGAGGCUGUGGAAAGCUGCCCUUCACUGAGUGCCACUGUGUGCCAGGCACGUGUCAUCUUUAAAACUCUCUUGUGAGGUGGGUGCUUCUGUGCUUUCCAGCAUUCAGGUGGGACACUGAGGCCCAGAGAGGGGAAGGCAGCUGUCCAACGUCACCAGGUUGGAUGUGGCAGAACCAAGAUUGGUACCUGGGAGCUCUGGCUUCGGAGAGCAUAAACUGUGCCCUGGCAGCAUAUACCCAGGGGUUCCCUGGGAAUGGAGACCUAUCAGAGCCCUGCCAGAGCUGAAGGGCCAACCUAGGGAGCCCUCUGGGUGCCCCUGGCCUCCCUUCCUGUCUCACUCCUCACUCCUCUGGCUCCCCACUUCUUCCAGGCCAAGGCCCAGAUGUGUGCUUCGUAAGACCUUACAGAUGGGCAGCGUCAUUUCUGGCUCCUGAGACACUCAUUCUUGGAGCCUCCCUGCUGGUACUGCGAGAAACCCCAAGGGCCUGCUGGAGAAGCCCAGGCGGAAGGGACCCUACCUGCCAACCACGUGAGGGAGGAAGAAAGCCCUGGCCGACUGCACACAGAGCAGAGCUGAGGGCUCCCCACCGAGCCCUGCCCACACCGCACACUGCACAUGAACAGACAUUCGGGGAUACUUGUUAUGCGGCUACAGAUAAGUAGAACGGGCCCGCCGCAAGGGGGACAAAGGGGGCCGGUCUGGUGGGACAGGUCAGGAGGGUGGCUUUGGCUGGACCUGGAGAUGCCCAGACUCCCAACAGGCCAGGGCAGGUCCCCGAGGCAGGGCUUGGAGAAGAAGUGAGCCCUGGGGCCGAGGUGGAGCUAAGGAGAGAGGACUGGAAGGGCUCCCUCCAAGCCCUCACCCCUUCGGGCAGAGGGCUAGCCCUGCUGGGCUGGCGAGCAUCUACAGGCCGCCAUGUCCCAAUGAAAGGAUGAAAGGAACCGCCCAGGCCCCCCCGCCAGCACCCCCUGAUGGUCUGGGUUCCCCAUCCCCUCAUGUCCCUGGCCUUCAGCCCCCACACUCUGCCUCUGACUAUCCUUUUGCGGGUCUGACUCCCUUGUCCUGGAGUGAUCUGUGCCAUGAGUCCCUGGACAUAAGAACGUGUCUGGAACUUGGCUCUGCUUGGAGCCCCCUCCUCCAGGCAGACGCCCCUGGCUGCUCCCACCCCCCCUGCGCUUGCUCUGCAGACAUUCACAGGACACUCGCACUUGCUCUCCAGUGGCUCCCGGGGCCGGGCUGGGGGCCGGGGGGGUUGGGGGACAGCCCUGCCUCCGCACCAGCCUGCGAGCUUCCUGAGGACAGCGCCCAUGCCCCUCUACUGCCCUCACCAAGCAGCUAGGCUGGACAUCAGGGUCCUCCUCCCUCCCCAGGGGGCAUUGGUAGGGCCCUCGAAGCUUGUGCCCCUGGAGCAGCUCCCAAGAAGACAGUCCUAUGAAUGCAGCUAUCAGUGACUUCAGGGCGAGGGACCCUGGCUGGGACGGGUGCCAGAGGGCAGAGGCCCCAGCUGGGUCCCUGGCUGGCCGGGUGGCCCCGGGUGCCUGGCGCACACUGUCUGGGCCCGCUCCCCUCUCUGGGAAAGGAGGGGGCGGAGGAGCUGAUUUCUGAGGUCCCUUCCAGCUCAAACACCUUAUGUUCUAUGAAAUCCGCGUGAACGUUGCCAUGGAGAUGUCACAGAGGAACUGCAGCAGCACAGAAUGUGACUUCCUUUCGAGUCACCUGAGGAAGCUGCUCGUGUCAGAGAAGCCCUCCCCCCACCGCCCCCAGAAGCCUGGGUGCACAGAGCCACACCGAGGGUCCUGCUCCCAAGAGGACACCAUCACCUCCCUCCCUUUCCCUCCCGUGGUCCUGAGGCCCCGCAGGGAGCGAGGGGUGGGUGUCCAUCCCUGCCCGAGGGGACAAGGACCUCUGUGGGAGGGCCGGAGCCCAGGGCUCUGCCCUUGCAGUUGGGCUUGCAAGGCCUGCCCUCUGGCCCUGCUUCCCACAGCUGCUCGGGUCCUGAUACCCAAGGACCCCAGGAGACCUCAGGACCCAAAAGUGUGCCCGCUGCAGAGUGGAGGCCUCCCUCUUCCCCAGACCCUGCAUUGAGGCCCCUGGUGGCAGGGACCCCUGGGCUUGGGCACGCAACACCCCCAGCUGCCUCACGGCUCCUGAGGGCCACGUGGGGCCUCGUGGCAGGGGAGGCACGAGUGGAAAGGAAGAAAAUGAGCCCCAGGGUAACCAUCACAACCACUGAUGCCUGAGCACUGGCAGCCCCUGGAGCAGACCGAGGGUUUCGUGGGCGUGGCCUCUUCUUCUUUUUGCUUAAUUAUAAAAAUGUGUUUUGCAGGCAUGUCAACGACACGAAAGGAAAAGGCACGGAUAAAUGCCGAGGUCCAGCCCCAGCAGCCAGGGAGUGCCGAAGGAGAGGAUGGGCUACAAACGGCGCGGAAAGAAUUGGAGCCAACUCCUCAGCUGCAUGCUGCAGAUGACCCAAUUUAUUAAAUGAAAAGCAUCAGUUUUUAUACCCUAUUACAAUCAGGAUUCGUGUAAGAUUUGACAUUAACAUUUGAUUUAAAGCCCUUUUGUUCCCUCCACCUGAGAUACAAAAAAAAAAAAAAAAAAGGUUAGUUAAAACAUGUUCCUUUCAACUUUAGAUUUUCCUUCAAGAUCACAAAGUUUCACGCCGUAUUUUUCUUAAAAGGUCAACAACAGUAGCUAUUCUAUUCUAUAUUAAGAACAAAGCUUUAAUAAGUAAUAAACUAUGAUACCUAACAUUCUUUAACUAAAGGUGUAUGUAGUUAACAAAAUGCAUGAAAGCCUUGGGCUCAUGACAUUCUUAAAACUACGAUUUAUUUGGCGCCAGCAAGCUAAGCAUUUAACCUAUUGUGCUGAUUUACGUAAGUUCCAAACCACCAAUUUCAAUAGAAAGGAGUAUUAUACCCAAAAAUUAACAAAUGCCCUCACAAGGGAUGAAAGUUACAGGUGACACUGUUAUUUGAUAAAAAAAUAUAUCUAUUAUAGAAAAUAGCAAUUUAUAGGCCAAACAACAUUUUUCCCAGCCCCCAAACUUCUUUUUAAGUAAAGGGACUGAAAUCAUAAGUUUCCCCUGUAUACUCUCACAAAAUAGGUGCCAUAAAUUGUUACUCCAAAACAAAGGCUUUUUCCAUUACAUUGUUUAAAUAACUU